UUGAACGCUGGCGGCAUGCCUUACACAUGCAAGUCGAACGGUAACAGGUCUUCGGAUGCUGACGAGUGGCGAACGGGUGAGUAAUACAUCGGAACGUGCCCGAUCGUGGGGGAUAACGGAGCGAAAGCUUUGCUAAUACUGCAUACGAUCUCCGGAUGAAAGCAGGGGACCGCAAGGCCUUGCGCGGACGGAGCGGCCGAUGGCAGAUUAGGUAGUUGGUGGGAUAAAAGCUUACCAAGCCGACGAUCUGUAGCUGGUCUGAGAGGACGACCAGCCACACUGGGACUGAGACACGGCCCAGACUCCUACGGGAGGCAGCAGUGGGGAAUUUUGGACAAUGGGCGCAAGCCUGAUCCAGCCAUGCCGCGUGCAGGAUGAAGGCCUUCGGGUUGUAAAGCUCUUUCAGCCGGAACGAAACGGUACGCUCUAACAUAGCGUGCUAAUGACGGUACCGGCAGAAGAAGCACCGGCUAACUACGU
RNAcentral lists this ribosomal RNA (480 nucleotides) under uncultured bacterium. Its description in RNAcentral is "bacterial SSU rRNA". It matches the Rfam family "Bacterial small subunit ribosomal RNA", at positions 30 to 506 of the family's 1533-position model. The record is from RNAcentral.